Molecule: ribosomal RNA, 569 nt
Filed under: Aspergillus sp. ZL0-1b14
Lineage: Eukaryota; Fungi; Ascomycota; Eurotiomycetes; Eurotiales; Aspergillaceae
Description: eukaryotic LSU rRNA
Rfam family: 5.8S ribosomal RNA (bases 182-335)
Source: RNAcentral
GAGGUCUUCGGGGCCCAACCUCCCACCCUUGUAUACUAUACCAAGUUGCUUCGGCGGGCCCGCCGUUCGCGCGGCCGCCGGGGGGGAACCCCUCCCCCCGGGCGAGCGCCCGCCGGAGACCCCAACGUGAACACUGUCUGAAGUUUUGUCGUCUGAGUUCGAUUGUAUCGCAAUCAGUUAAAACUUUCAACAAUGGAUCUCUUGGUUCCGGCAUCGAUGAAGAACGCAGCGAAAUGCGAUAAUUAAUGUGAAUUGCAGAAUUCAGUGAAUCAUCGAGUCUUUGAACGCACAUUGCACCCCCUGGUAUUCCGGGGGGUAUGCCUGUCCGAGCGUCAUUGCUGCCCUCAAGCCCGGCUUGUGUGUUGGGUCCUCGUCCCCCCCGGGGGACGGGCCCGAAAGGCAGCGGCGGCACCGCGUCCGGUCCUCGAGCGUAUGGGGCUUUGUCACACCGCUCUCGUAGGCCCGGCCGGCGCUGGCCGACGCUGAAAAGCAACCAUUAUUUCUCCAGGUUGACCUCGGAUCAGGUAGGGAUACCCGCUGAACUUAAGCAUAUCAAUAGCCCGGAGGAA